Nilaparvata lugens (brown planthopper) is the source of this 775-nucleotide long non-coding RNA. RefSeq lists it as uncharacterized. The transcript has 2 exons. The record is from RefSeq and is a predicted model, not a curated record. Lineage: Eukaryota; Metazoa; Arthropoda; Insecta; Hemiptera; Delphacidae.
UCAAAUUUCAAUUUAUGGUGUAAAGAUAACCUACAAACUACAUGUUUUGCACCUAAACUUUUUUGUCCGUUUACUGCUAUCGAAUUUGUUUUUAUAGUAACAGAUUUGCUUUGUCUCCACUUUUUAGGAUUGUAAUCGUGUUGAUUCCCAAUAUCACCUUUACUGAUUCACUUUCUCAACCUUCACAAAGUAACAAUCGCUCUUGUAACCCAGUAGAAGUGGAAAAUUAAACUGUUAUUAUUUAGUUUUUAUUAACAAUGUUUGAAAGAUUCAUGAAACUGUUGUCGUACUGGUAUCUCCAGUAUGAGUUAAUUACUUGCAUUUAUAUGUUUGAACCGUGGGAGAGGAAGCUGCUGAAUUCCAUCAUUCUUCUGGUCGUUUUUCUUGUCUCAUACUCUUCUUACAUGUAUCUUCCGCACUACACCAUAUCGCUCUUGGAACAUCUUAGUCUCACAAAUAGCAGGAUUGACUCAUGAGGACCUGAUAAGCUGCACUGGUAGUUUAUGUGAGGAUUUCACAUUGGAGAGAACAUCACAAGCGGAAAGUGUAUUCUGUCCCAAGUAUGGCUCGAAUGCCAGUGUGAUGCGUGAUGUUUCUAGUGUAAUAUUGCCCACCUAGUACUUAAACUGUAAAUAUAGGAACAAAGUGAUACCAGUAGCUGUGAAUGUUUCAUUGUUUCGUGAUAGGAUGUUUGUUCAGUCCACUCAGAUAUCGAGAUAAUUAUGUAAUGUAUGCAAUAAAUUCCGCAUUUUAGAUUUUAUAAAACAUCUGCCUC